Molecule: non-coding RNA, 302 nt
Organism: Podarcis lilfordi (Lilford's wall lizard)
Lineage: Eukaryota; Metazoa; Chordata; Lepidosauria; Squamata; Lacertidae
Source: the annotation of a GenBank genome assembly
GGAUGUGAGGGCGAUCUGGCUGCGACAUCUGUCACCCCACUGAUCGCCAGGGUUGAUUCGGCUGAUCUGGCUGGCUAGGCGGGUGUCCCCUUCCUCCCUCACCGCUCCAUGUGCGUCCCUCCCGAAGCUGCGUGCUCGGUGGAAGAGGACGACCAAGGAGUGUACCGUUCUUCGGUCAAGGGUAUACGAUAGCUGCGCUCCCCUGCUAGAACCUCCAAACAAGCAUUUCGUAUUUCAAAACAUGAGCUUGAGAUAACCCGGAUACAGCACCUAGCAUUUAUCAAUGAUGAUGAUGGUUCAGG